This 492-nucleotide long non-coding RNA is filed under the name Hordeum vulgare. RNAcentral's name for it is "long non-coding RNA (HVUL_LNC002504)". Lineage: Eukaryota; Viridiplantae; Streptophyta; Magnoliopsida; Poales; Poaceae. The record is from RNAcentral.
GAUAUACCCAUCUGCAGGUUACGCUUCGUCUAGCCUGGGCUGUGUUUCUGCUGCUUCUUCCUUAGCAAGUCAAUUCAUCAUCGUCCUUGGGGAGCCAACUCUGAAAUGUUUCCCAGUCAAUUUAUCUGAUAAGAACAUGUAGCUAUCUUGCAGAGCUGCAGUUUACCGGGGCCUAUUUACCUCGCAUGAGUGAACCUCUGCAGCGUUUUAAGCACACCCAUAAAAUGCUGGAGUCAUCAAGCAGGUGUAUAGCGGUCCUUCUCCAGUGAGUCGUCACACCUGCGAAAUUCGACCAAACAUUCAGUUAAUAGCUAAUUAUGUCCCUCUUCUGGUACUCAGAGCAGACAUGAAUAAUCUCUUCUUACCUUUGCAGUGCAAGUUUUCAAUAAUAACUUAAAUUGUACAUGACCUGCAAUGCAUUAUUACCUUGAGACUGCUACUACUGCCUAUGAUCUCAACUGGCUCCACACGUGCACUGAUAUGCUAUGCCGG